CCCUUAGACGUUCUGGGCCGCACGCGCGCUACACUGACCAGUGCAACAAGCAUCCGUCCUUGGCCGACAGGCUCGGGCGAUCUUUGAACGCUGGUCGUGAUGGGGAUAGACUUUUGCAAUUUUUGGUCUUCAACGAGGAAUUCCUAGUAAACGCAAGUCAUCAACUUGCAUUGAUUACGUCCCUGCCCUUUGUACACACCGCCCGUCGCACCUACCGAUUGAAUGGUCCGGUGAAGCCUCCGGAUUGGCGCGCACCUCGGUGCCGCCGAGAAGUUGGCUAAACCUUACCAUUUAGAGGAAGGUGAAGUCGUAACA
This 315-nucleotide ribosomal RNA is filed under the name uncultured eukaryote. RNAcentral's name for it is "partial 18S ribosomal RNA". It matches the Rfam family "Eukaryotic small subunit ribosomal RNA", at positions 1470 to 1796 of the family's 1831-position model. The record is from RNAcentral.